Molecule: ribosomal RNA, 275 nt
Filed under: uncultured bacterium
Lineage: Bacteria
Description: partial 16S ribosomal RNA
Rfam family: Bacterial small subunit ribosomal RNA
Source: RNAcentral
CGUCCCGCCGGCGACCGGCGCACGGGUGAGUAACACGUAUGCAACCUGGCCGCCACAGGGGGAUAACCCGCGGAAACGCGGCCUAAUACCCCGUGACGCCACCGGAGGGCAUCCUCCGGUGGCCAAAGGAGCGAUCCGGUGGCGGAUGGGCAUGCGGCGCAUUAGCUAGACGGCGGGGUGACGGCCCACCGUGGCGACGAUGCGUAGGGGUUCUGAGAGGAAGGCCCCCCACACUGGGACUGAGACACGGUCCAAACUCCUACGGGAGGCAGCAG